This is a non-coding RNA of Pogona vitticeps (central bearded dragon), 2110 nucleotides long. The record is from RefSeq and is a predicted model, not a curated record. Lineage: Eukaryota; Metazoa; Chordata; Lepidosauria; Squamata; Agamidae.
UGAUUGACCAAGCAAGACAGAGAUCUUGUGUCCUUGCCUGAGUUUGUGGGCGUUGCCUGAACUGUCAAUGCCUUAAUUCCUUUUACUGUUUAGCUUGUAAGACAAAACACAUCUCUUUUGCAAAGAUCUUCAGAACCAGGGAAAAUGUCAGGAUGGUAGAAUUAAGUUCCCCUGCACCAGAGGAGAGACAGCCAGUGAGUCUUGAUAACUCUUACUGGCUCAGAGCUGAAGAUUCACCUGCUGGAGAUUCUUGUCUGAGUCAUACCCUCAUUGCUGCAUAUUUCCUGGUACACCUCCUGGAGCCCUCUUCUGUGAUACACCUGGAGGCUGCUAAACCAGUACACCUGAUGACAUGACCUUUUUGAUGCCUACCAAGACAAGAGCCUACUACUGCUUUGAGCUGGUGGUGAGCAAGGACUUAGAGCUUCCUCACGUUAGCUGGAUUUUGGGACAAGGUUUUGUGUUUGGGACUAUUGUGUGUGUUAAUGGAAGAUGGCUACUGAGAUCCCAAAAUUGGGGACCUUGAGUUAAAUGUAUCCCUAGACAUUAAAAUCAGGCCUUGGUGUGGACCCAAGGGUUACAUAUCUGUAUCUUUUCAAACUGAAAUCGAUAUUCUCAUUCCAAGUUGGGAGCCCAUGUGGGGUUGUGGAUAGAAUGUUGGACUAGGGCUCAGGACACUUGUGUUAAAGUCCCCACUAGGCCAUGGAAACUCACUGGUGGAUGACAGUGGUAAACCACUCCUUGAUAGAGAUGGGUACGUACCACAGUUCAGUGGUUCAGCAUUGUAUGGAGGAUUGGGGCCACAGGUGUUGUGCAGUGCCUCAGUUUCUGCUCUCUGUCUCUUCCUGUGGAUGCCCACUAAGAGGAGGAGGUGGGGCAAGGAAGUCCACAUUGCGCCUUUUGAUGGGGCACCCAUGGGAGGAGGUGGGGCACAGAAUCCGGGGCAUCCCCACAGUACCUACAGCCCCGAUCCUCUGCACUGUGCUGAACCACAGAACCAUGGCAAGUGCCCAUAUCUAUGCUUUAAACCUCCUACAUAUCACAAAAACCCUACAAGAUUGCCGUGACUUGUUAGUGACUUAGUGGCACAUCACAGUAACAUUUGCAAGCAACGUUGGACAUUCCUGCCUUGCACAACCCUCCCAGUUCUGAUCCCUUUAUCCUUUGGUUGCAAAGUGUUCAAUGAACUUACCCUAGCUCAUUGAAAUUUUCAGUUAUUAUGACUAUCUAGUUCAAACCAGAGACACCUUAGUCUUUAACCCUGUCCAUUCCAAUUCUAGAUUUCAUAGAAGUGGGAGAUGUGAAAUGAACCAACUUCACAGGCAACAAUUUUUCUCCCUUCAUAGAAGGUUUUCAACAAGGUUUGAGUGGUCAUAUUUCAGAGAAGCUUUAAAAGUGGCCGUUCUGUUUUGGCAGCGUUUAGAAUAGAUGACCCUGAGAGCCACCCUUUCCAACACAAUGAUUUUUUUUUCAUAAUUCUAUGAUUGAAAUCCUGUUGCUCAAAAGAUGUAACCUUUGGAGGUGAGUUGCUGCAGUUUGAUAAAUCUCCAUAGAUAUUAUCUGGUGCAUCUGAGUUUUAUUUAUGAAGUAGUUGCAUCCAGAAAAUUCACAACACUCUCAAGUUAGAAAUUGGUUGCCAUGCAGUAACAUGUUUGUUGUUCCUUGCCUCUUCUUUUCUCCCUUGACAACAUACGACCAUCUUUACUUUGAAAUAGCUGAAAACAAAGGAUUCUUGGAACUUUAUACAUUUUUAGGAGUCCUGCUGGCAUAUCACCUGGAGCAAAAAAUCUCAGUUUCCUUCCUCCCCCUCUUCUUGGCAUCUUCUUUUAAGUUUAAACGGCAUAAAACUUGCUUUCAUAAAUUUAGUUUUACAUUCAAGCCACACUACUGUGCCUUAAAUUACUGGAAACAAGUUGGAUGUGGAGAUAAUAUUUAGGCACUUUUUAAUAAGAGGAUUUCUCUAGAGCAUCUAGAUGGAGAUGGUGUAUCAAGGCUCUUACAUUUUAGAAUAAUUGAGUCACAAAAAUUGAACUAUCUGGUAUGAGGUUAAAGGAAAGAGAAGAAAAGAGCCCAUGGCCAAAGAGACCUUCCCCUUCCAUUCUGAAAUAAC